Molecule: ribosomal RNA, 856 nt
Filed under: uncultured soil bacterium
Lineage: Bacteria
Description: bacterial SSU rRNA
Rfam family: Bacterial small subunit ribosomal RNA
Source: RNAcentral
AGAAUCAACGCUGGCGGCGUGCCUAACACAUGCAAGUCGAACGAGAAAGUGGAGCAAUCCAUGAGUAAAGUGGCGACCGGGUGAGUAACACGUGACUAACCUACCUUCGAGUGGGGGAUAACCAAGGGAAACCUGGGCUAAUACCGCAUAACAUCUUUGGAGUGGAAAUUCUGGAGAUCAAAGGGGCAAUUCGCUUGAAGAGGGGGUCGCGGCUGAUUAGCUAGUUGGCGGGGUAACGGCCCACCAAGGCGAAGAUCGGUAUCCGGCCUGAGAGGGCGCACGGACACACUGGAACUGAAACACGGUCCAGACUCCUACGGGAGGCAGCAGUGGGGAAUUUUACGCAAUGGGGGAAACCCUGACGCAGCAACGCCGCGUGGAGGAUGAAAUCCCUUGGGAUGUAAACUCCUUUCGAUCGGGACGAUUAUGACGGUACCGGAAGAAGAAGCCCCGGCUAACUUCGUGCCAGCAGCCGCGGUAAUACGAGGGGGGCAAGCGUUGUUCGGAAUUAUUGGGCGUAAAGGGAGUGUAGGCGGUUUGGUAAGUUGUGUGUGAAAUCUUCGGGCUCAACCCGAAGUCUGCACACAAAACUGCCGGGCUUGAGGGUGGGAGAGGUGAGUGGAAUUUCCGGUGCAGCGGUGAAAUGCGUAGAUAUCGGAAGGAACACCUGUGGCGAAAGCGGCUCACUGGACCAUUUCUGACGCUGAAACUCGAAAGCUAGGGGAGCAAACAGGAUUAGAUACCCUGGUAGUCCUAGCCCUAAACGAUGACUGUUUGGUGUGGCGGGUACCCAAUCCCGCCGUGCCGUAGCUAACGCGUUAAACAGUCCGCCUGGGGAGUACGGUCGCAAGGCUGA